This 301-nucleotide ribosomal RNA is filed under the name uncultured bacterium. RNAcentral's name for it is "partial 16S ribosomal RNA". It matches the Rfam family "Bacterial small subunit ribosomal RNA", at positions 509 to 808 of the family's 1533-position model. The record is from RNAcentral.
CAGUAGCCGCGGUAAAACGGAGGGGGCUAGCGUUGUUCGGAAUUACUGGGCGUAAAGCGCACGUAGGCUGCUUUGUAAGUCAGAGGUGAAAGCCCGGGGCUCAACCCCGGAUGUGCCUUUGAGACUGCAGGGCUAGAACGUCGGAGAGGUGAGUGGAAUUCCGAGUGUAGAGGUGAAAUUCGUAGAUAUUCGGAAGAACACCAGUGGCUAAGGCGGCUCACUGGACGACUGUUGACGCUGAGGUGCGAAAGCGUGGGAGCAAACAGGAUUAGAUACCCGCGUAGUCCCUGUCUCUUAUACA